Molecule: ribosomal RNA, 869 nt
Filed under: Coniella vitis
Lineage: Eukaryota; Fungi; Ascomycota; Sordariomycetes; Diaporthales; Schizoparmaceae
Description: partial large subunit ribosomal RNA
Rfam family: Eukaryotic large subunit ribosomal RNA
Source: RNAcentral
CAACAGGGAUUGCCCUAGUAACGGCGAGUGAAGCGGCAACAGCUCAAAUUUGAAAUCUGGCUUCGGCCCGAGUUGUAAUUUGCAGAGGAUGUUUCUGGCGCGGUGCCUUCCGAGUUCCCUGGAACGGGACGCCAUAGAGGGUGAGAGCCCCGUAUGGUUGGAUACCAAGCCUGUGUGAAACUCCUUCGACGAGUCGAGUAGUUUGGGAAUGCUGCUCAAAAUGGGAGGUAAAUCUCUUCUAAAGCUAAAUAUUGGCCAGAGACCGAUAGCGCACAAGUAGAGUGAUCGAAAGAUGAAAAGCACCUUGAAAAGGGGGUUAAACAGUACGUGAAAUUGUUGAAAGGGAAGCGCUCAUGACCAGACUUGUGCUGGGCAGCUCAUCCGGGGUUCUCCCCGGUGCAUUCUGCCCAGUUCAGGCCAGCAUCGAUUUUUGCUGGGGGAUAAGAACGGUAGGAACGUGGCCCUCCUUCGGGAGGGUGUUAUAGCCUACCGUACGAUACCCUAGCGGAGAUCGAGGUUCGCGCAUCUGCAAGGAUGCUGGCGUAAUGGUCAUCAGCGACCCGUCUUGAAACACGGACCAAGGAGUCGUCCAUUAGAGCGAGCGUUUGGGUGUAAAACCCGCACGCGUAAUGAAAGUGAAAUUAGGUGAGAGCUUCGGCGCAUCAUCGACCGAUCCUGAUGUUCUCGGAUGGAUUUGAGUAAGAGUUUUAACGGACGGACCCGAAAGACAGUGAACUAUGCUUGUAUAGGGUGAAGCCAGAGGAAACUCUGGUGGAGGCUCGCAGCGGCUCUGACGUGCAAAUCGAUCGUCAAAUAUGAGCAUGGGGGCGAAAGACUAAUCGAACUGUCUAGUAGCUGGUUACCGCCGA